CCUGACCUUACAUCCUGAUCUACAUCCUGACCUACAGCCUGAUCUACAUCCUGACCUACAUCCUGACCUACAGUCUGACCUACGGUCUGACCUUACAUCCUGACCUACAGUCUGAUCUACAUACUGACCUACAUCCUGACCUACAGCCUGACCUACAGACUGACCUACAGUCUGAUCUACAGUCUGAUCUACAACCUUCAAGCUCAAAACAUGUCAAUGAGGCUGAACGUGAUGGGUUUGGACCAGCCUUAAGCUGUAACUCAACUCCACUGACAGACAAAACCGACGUUGAGCUUUCUCUCCCAAUGACCGUAUCUGUCUCUCCGAAAGACACGUACGAGAAGCAGCAUCCCGGCGAGCAGCGAGGCCCAAAUCCACAAGAAUGACGAAAGCGCUGUUUCGACAUCCUGUCAAAUCUGAUUUUUCCCUUCCUGUGUCUCAUGAGGCAGACAUCUGAUCUCUCUCUCUCUCUCUCUCUCUCUCUCUUUUUCUUGAAGUACAAACAUCAAACACAAACUGUGCUUCUUCUUCCACUCCUGUUUGAAUCACACACACAGUGAGGUGGACGUUUCAGUCACUGAUAACACUCAGGAGGAAAGAGAGCCAGAGGAGAAUCGGACCUGACAUCAGGCUCGUGACCCGUCCUCUGAUCAGGAUCCGAGGUGUAACCGAUAGCAGGAACGCCGAGCACGCGGCUAACAUCCUGUUACAUCGAGCCGUGGAAAGCCUGAUUAAAGUAAUAACACGAACGCUCAUCAGGACGGGAUGCUACAACGUCUCCUCUGUGAGAAAACUUCAUGUGGCAAUUAAAAGGAAUUUCCAAAACGAA
Molecule: long non-coding RNA, 829 nt
Organism: Tachysurus fulvidraco (yellow catfish)
Lineage: Eukaryota; Metazoa; Chordata; Actinopteri; Siluriformes; Bagridae
Exons: 2
Source: RefSeq, a predicted model, not a curated record